GCCUGAGUGGCUCAGUGGUUGAGCAUCUGCCUUCAGUUCAGGAUGAUCCCAGGUUCCUGGGAUUGAGUCCCACAUCAGGCU
RNAcentral lists this transfer RNA (81 nucleotides) under Canis lupus familiaris (dog). It matches the Rfam family "tRNA". Rfam says of the family: Transfer RNA (tRNA) molecules are approximately 80 nucleotides in length. Their secondary structure includes four short double-helical elements and three loops (D, anti-codon, and T loops). Further hydrogen bonds mediate the characteristic L-shaped molecular structure. tRNAs have two regions of fundamental functional importance: the anti-codon, which is responsible for specific mRNA codon recognition, and the 3' end, to which the tRNAs corresponding amino acid is attached (by aminoacyl-tRNA synthetases). tRNAs cope with the degeneracy of the genetic code in two manners: having more than one tRNA (with a specific anti-codon) for a particular amino acid; and 'wobble' base-pairing, i.e. permitting non-standard base-pairing at the 3rd anti-codon position. RNAcentral also lists the same sequence under 1 other name. The record is from Rfam by way of RNAcentral. Lineage: Eukaryota; Metazoa; Chordata; Mammalia; Carnivora; Canidae.